RNAcentral lists this ribosomal RNA (544 nucleotides) under Neonectria sp. Fataf-5. RNAcentral's name for it is "eukaryotic LSU rRNA". The stretch from base 169 to 322 matches the Rfam family "5.8S ribosomal RNA". Lineage: Eukaryota; Fungi; Ascomycota; Sordariomycetes; Hypocreales; Nectriaceae. The record is from RNAcentral.
UCCGUAGGUGAACCUGCGGAGGGAUCAUUACCGAGUUUACAACUCCCAAACCCCUGUGAACAUACCUAUUUGUUGCCUCGGCGGUGCCUGUUCCGACAGCCCGCCAGAGGACCCCAAACCCUGAUUACAUUUAAGAAGUCUUCUGAGUAAACCGAUUAAAUAAAUCAAAACUUUCAACAACGGAUCUCUUGGUUCUGGCAUCGAUGAAGAACGCAGCGAAAUGCGAUAAGUAAUGUGAAUUGCAGAAUUCAGUGAAUCAUCGAAUCUUUGAACGCACAUUGCGCCCGCUAGUAUUCUGGCGGGCAUGCCUGUCCGAGCGUCAUUUCAACCCUCAAGCCCCCGGGCUUGGUGUUGGGGAUCGGCGAGCCUCCGCGCCCGCCGUCCCCUAAAUCUAGUGGCGGUCUCGCUGUAGCUUCCUCUGCGUAGUAGCACACCUCGCACUGGGAAACAGCGCGGCCACGCCGUUAAACCCCCAACUUCUGAACGUUGACCUCGGAUCAGGUAGGAAUACCCGCUGAACUUAAGCAUAUCAAUAAGCGGAGGA